This 641-nucleotide small RNA is filed under the name Pan troglodytes (chimpanzee). Its description in RNAcentral is "retained intron". Lineage: Eukaryota; Metazoa; Chordata; Mammalia; Primates; Hominidae. The record is from RNAcentral.
AGGAAGGAACGGGGCAGUGAAAAUCGAGUCGGGUGUGAUCCUAGGCCAAGCUCAUGGCCCAGCAGGGCCAGCAGGGGCAGAUGGCAAGUGGAGACAGCAAUCUCAACUUCAGGAUGGUCGCAGAGAUCCAGAACGUAGAGGGUCAGAUGCAGGAGCAGGUUUGCCCUGAGCCCAUUUUCAGGUUCUUCAGAGAAAACAAGGUGGAGAUUGCAAGUGCAAUAACAAGGCCAUUUCCUUUCCUUAUGGGCCUCCGAGACCGCUCCUUCAUCUCCGAGCAGAUGUAUGAAGUAAGUAAGAAUUUCCAAAUGAUGAUAAACCAGGUCCAUACUCAAUUAUGCCAAACUUCAAGAUGCAAUGAGCAGGCUAAAGGGCCUCCUGUAAGUGGGGACCUUCACCAUUCUGUAGGUUAGGAGGUGACAGGAGAAGCAGGCAUCACAGAAAACCUCCCUUCUUCUGUAGUAAAUGUUGGGGGAGGGCCACAGUGAGGGAGGUGGGGCAGGAGAGAGAAUGGGAAUGCUGUAUGGGUGCAGAUCAUCCUAGGUACAUGUAAACAAUCUACUAAUGGUAGCCAUAAUUAAAAUAAAUAAGUGACCUAGGCAGCAUUUUAUUCCAAAGCCUACUUAUCUGAAACACUUGAAACU